UAGUCUAUGAGCUAUAGAUGGAAACCUUUGU
RNAcentral lists this non-coding RNA (31 nucleotides) under Homo sapiens (human). Lineage: Eukaryota; Metazoa; Chordata; Mammalia; Primates; Hominidae. The record is from RNAcentral.